GACGAACGCUGGCGGCGUGCUUAACACAUGCAAGUCGAACGAAGAGCGAUGGAAGCUUGCUUCUAUCAAUCUUAGUGGCGAACGGGUGAGUAACGCGUAAUCAACCUGCCCUUCAGAGGGGGACAACAGCUGGAAACGACUGCUAAUACCGCAUACGGUCUAAUCUCGGCAUCGAGGAUAGAUGAAAGGUGGCCUCUACAUGUAAGCUAUCACUGAAGGAGGGGAUUGCGUCUGAUUAGCUAGUUGGAGGGGUAACGGCCCACCAAGGCGAUGAUCAGUAGCCGGUCUGAGAGGAUGAACGGCCACAUUGGGACUGAGACACGGCCCAGACUCCUACGGGAGGCAGCAGUGGGGAAUCUUCCGCAAUGGACGAAAGUCUGACGGAGCAACGCCGCGUGAGUGAUGACGGCCGUCGGGUUGUAAAGCUCUGUUAAUCGGGACGAAAGGCCUUCUUGCGAAUAGUGAGAAGGAUUGACGGUACCGGAAGAGAAAGCCACGGCUAACUACGUG
RNAcentral lists this ribosomal RNA (510 nucleotides) under uncultured bacterium. Its description in RNAcentral is "partial 16S ribosomal RNA". It matches the Rfam family "Bacterial small subunit ribosomal RNA", at positions 28 to 507 of the family's 1533-position model. The record is from RNAcentral.